UACGUAGGGGGCAAGCGUUGUCCGGAUUUAUUGGGCGUAAAGAGCGUGUAGGCGGCCAAACAGGUCAGCUGUGAAAACUCGAGGCUCAACCUCGAGACGUCGGUUGAAACCGUAUGGCUAGAGUCCGGAAGAGGAGAGUGGAAUUCCCGGUGUAGCGGUGAAAUGCGCAGAUAUCGGGAAGAACACCCGUGGCGAAGGCGGCUCUCUGGGACGGUACUGACGCUGAGGCGCGAAAGCGUGGGGAGCAAACAGG
This 253-nucleotide ribosomal RNA is filed under the name uncultured bacterium. Its description in RNAcentral is "partial 16S ribosomal RNA". It matches the Rfam family "Bacterial small subunit ribosomal RNA", at positions 524 to 776 of the family's 1533-position model. The record is from RNAcentral.